UCCCCUCACGUUGCUCUGCCUUGUGCUCUGGUGGCAAGCCUCCCUGACAAAAAUCAAAGAGCUGCGGGUGCCACAAGGGUGAACUCUGUGAUCUCAGCCCCCUAAAGAGAAGUGUCCCCAGAGAGAGGUUCAGUCCAUGUCAGUCACAUCUUCAUUCCUCUGAGAGAUGGGAAGCAAGCGCCUGUUUGAACACUUUUAUCGAGAGGUUAAGCAGGAAUGCACAUUUUCUGGAGCGGCUUGACUUCCGUGAGCUCCCUAAAGCCUGGAAGUAUCUUACUCGAUUGCAACCGUGCUUGGGAUUUUCCAGAUCAUCAGUGGAAAUGAGUGAAGGUGCACGGAGGACAUAGAAGCUCCCAGGUAACAGUUCACAACUGAAAGAAGUCAGGGCAAGAACUUAAGGCAGGAGCCUGAAUGUAGGGACAGAAGCAGAGACCAUGGAGGAUGAUGCUCAGCGGUUUCAGAUGUACCAAGGUGAUGACUAAUGCUAACUACGACAGUGCCCAGCAUCUUUCCCUUGGAACCAUCUAGGAACCAACCGCUCCAAUACUACUUGUGACUACACACGUUGUUUUGGUCCAAGAUGUCUGCUUAUCUGGGUAUUUGUCAUUAAUCUCUUUAUUUACUAAUAAAUGUACAUUUUCUAUAAAUUUU
Myodes glareolus (Bank vole) is the source of this 651-nucleotide non-coding RNA. NCBI's taxonomy places the organism in Eukaryota, Metazoa, Chordata, Mammalia, Rodentia, Cricetidae. The record is from RefSeq and is a predicted model, not a curated record.